This 530-nucleotide long non-coding RNA is filed under the name Oryctolagus cuniculus (rabbit). RNAcentral describes it as "lncRNA (ENSOCUG00000034115.1)". The record is from RNAcentral. Lineage: Eukaryota; Metazoa; Chordata; Mammalia; Lagomorpha; Leporidae.
CCUCUGUGCUUUGAAUACAUGAGGGUGCUCACAGCUGAACUGAUCGCCAUGGUUACAGGCAAUCUGUGUGUUACAUCUCCUGGAAGCAAAAAAGAGGGUAGUUUAAGGAUGAAGUACAAACUUAACACGGACACUCCACACUGUAGUCUCGACCUGACUUUCAGUUCAUCUCUCUCCUUCUUCCUGGGCAGUCAACUUCUGCAAACCUAAACUGAACAAUGCCAUUCCUGAAGCUUGCUGUGCUUUUUCAUGUGCAGACGCUGUUCCCUUUGUCUGGAAGCCGCUUCCCAUGGCUGCUUAGCACAAGGCAUGUGCUGGUGAUUCUCUGUUGUCUCAGCGAACACUUACUUUAUUCAUCUGUCCAUUUACUCAACCUCCACACAUCCUUGAAGACCCAGUUGUACAGUUCGGGUCCCUGGCGGGAGUUGAGACAGAAACUUUGGGCUCCUCUGGCCCUCCUGAAACUUCUAAGUGAAGCCACAGAAAAUUCCAAAAGGUAUUCAGGUUUGCAACUGUGUAAGAAACUCUAG